RNAcentral lists this ribosomal RNA (273 nucleotides) under uncultured Streptococcus sp. RNAcentral's name for it is "partial 16S ribosomal RNA". It matches the Rfam family "Bacterial small subunit ribosomal RNA", at positions 1108 to 1382 of the family's 1533-position model. The record is from RNAcentral. Lineage: Bacteria; Bacillati; Bacillota; Bacilli; Lactobacillales; Streptococcaceae.
UUGUUAGUUGCCAUCAUUCAGUUGGGCACUCUAGCGAGACUGCCGGUAAUAAACCGGAGGAAGGCGGGGAUGACGUCAAAUCAUCAUGCCCCUUAUGACCUGGGCUACACACGUGCUACAAUGGUUGGUACAACGAGUUGCGAGUCGGUGACGGCGAGCUAAUCUCUUAAAGCCAAUCUCAGUUCGGAUUGUAGGCUGCAACUCGCCUACAUGAAGUCGGAAUCGCUAGUAAUCGCGGAUCAGCACGCCGCGGUGAAUACGUUCCCGGGCCUU